This is a long non-coding RNA of Mus musculus (house mouse), 4644 nucleotides long. RefSeq annotates it as predicted gene, 39260. The record is from RefSeq and is marked validated. The transcript is spliced from 2 exons. Lineage: Eukaryota; Metazoa; Chordata; Mammalia; Rodentia; Muridae.
UGGGAAGGCCCUGUCCCCUGGUGUGCCUGGGUAUGUUGCAGACAAACUCUGCUGGGAGGUUGGCAUCAGGUCCCUGGGCAUUCUGCCCUGCUCUGUGGCUCCUCCAAGCUGACCUGGCACAUGCUGCCAGUUUCCCUUGUCCAGGGAAAGCCCUGCAGCCGGGCCCCUACCCUGGGCCAGUCAGUGCUCAGAGGAGCCUCAGCUAAGAAUAACCCAGCUCUGACGUCAGGAAUCUAGAAGACUGGCUGCAAGCUGCCUCCCAAGACAGCCAGGAAUAGUCCACAGAGAAGCCAGACUCCCGGUUCUUCCUCAGCCUGUCUGGCAGAGGACAGCAGCCCCGAGGAUGGGCACCUGUGCACCUUCUGCCUGCAUCUGAGACCCUGACCAGGCUGGCAGAGUGGUCACAGGUGACACCUUCAAUUUCAACUGACACAAAACCAAAGAUGUUUGGAAGAAGGAAAAAAAAAAGGUAUCACCUUGUUAUUCUCGUCCCAUUUCUAUUGCUGGGCAGUCCCAAGAAACUCAAGUCAAGGGUUCCCGGCCCAUUGCAAGGCAAGUUCCCGCCUCUCACCACCCGACCCCAAUAAAAUGAUAGCAUUCGCAAUGGCGGUCCUUGCCGUCCCGUGUGGCUAGAACUGUGUAGCUUGUCCACGUGCAGGGAGUUCCUACCAAUCCACUGAGAAUGGGAGUCUGAGCUUGGAGAGGCCGGGGAAGCACCAGCCCAGAGUGCACAGCGAGCCGGCAGCAGGACCGGAUCUCAGAGCCACUCUGGUGACCUCAUGUUUGGGUGGCUGUUCAUUCUGCGUAUCACCAAGGAACGGAAGAGUCUGGGGACAAUGACUACAUUGAAGGAGAGACUGGGUAACGAGGGAAAGCACGAAAUGAAAGACAGCGGUAAGCCUCCCAGUGACCUGAGCAGCCAGGACACCCUUUCCUCUGCCUCCUGGAAGCAGACUAUACCCAGUUCUCUACUCCAGGGCCAGGCGACCCAGCAUGGCCCUGCUGGUUAAACAAAGGAAGGUUUCAGGCCACAGUGGCAGCAACAGGAUGGGAGGUCCCUUCUCUGCUCAUGAGGCACUUCCCUAGUUCUACUCGGGUACCAGUGCAGGGCAGGGUGUGGUCCCCUUGGGUUGGGUCCCUCUAGUUCCUAUCAGGCCUCCUUUCUAAUGGAUGUGAAUUAUAUUGUGGGGUGGGGAGAGCUAGUUUGGCACUGACAGCAGCUGUCAAGGGUCCUAUCCAAGUCAUUCCUUCACUGAUCCUUAGGCCCACAGGGACAGAUAAAGAGACAGUGGGUCAGGGACUCCUCCAGGCCUUUGCUGGUCAUAAAGUGAUGACUGCAUUCAAACACAUUGAUGGAAACCAAUAAGCGGGCUUCCAUUUUUGUGGAAUCUUUCUGGAAGCUGUGCCCUUGGCUUGGCGUGUUAGAUAGGACGGCUCAUGGAGAAUCCUGAGCAGCCCAUGAGAAAAGAACCAAACUGGCAUUUUGCAGACCCUGGAGCGUUGAAGCCACCGGACCGGAAAGAUCAGCAGUUAAAGAAAAAUAACAAGCACAUCCAACCGGAGGCCCUCGGGUCGCCAUGAAUGCCGUUCAUAGAAUCAUGAACUUAAAAACACGGCCAGACCUGGCGAGGUGCUUGCAGAGUUAAGGGACUGCUGUGCAAUCUUGGUGACCCAACUUUGGUCCCAGGACCCCAUACAGAAGGGACAACUGAAUUGGUUCUACAGGGUUCACACACACACACACACACACACACACACACACACACACACACUAAGUAAAUAAACACUGAGAGGUUUUGGUCAUUAUUUUGGUAUCUCAGUGAAUGGCUCCUGAGCGCCAACCCUGCAGAUGACAAAGCUGUGUCAUGAUGUCAAAAGGCGUCUUUAUAAAGUAGGACUCGUGAGGGUGAACUAGCCCUAAGGGGUACCUGGUACACAUCAAGAUAUUUCUGUCCCAAGGGCCUCUAGGGAGUAAUAGCCAGAGAGGAAGGAUGUUAUACUCUGCCAAUGCCAAGGUACCUUCCAAAUGAGAAACUACCCUCUUCGACUGUCGCUAUGAAGAAGGAGAGGCACUUGAGCAAGGAUUUCACAGAAAGCCCUGGAAGGUUCUCUAGGUGACACUGACAGGCGGGGUGACAGAUGUGGAACACGCCCUUUGUUACCCUGCUCCGUGAAGAACAAGACCCAGGGCAGAGGCUGUUGCUAUGGAUGAACAAUCUCCAUGGAGGAAGGUAACAGGGGGAAGGCAAGAUCACCUUCCUUCCUUUGUUCAGUUCUAAGGCUAGACAAUCCAGGUGUCACCCACACUAGCUGGAAGUGAAGCUCGAAUACCGAGCCACUUCCCCGGCCCCUCACUAGGGGAUUGUAGGCAGGGGAUCUCCCACUGAACCAAUCUUGCAGCCCCUGUGUAAUUUCCAGAAAGGGUCUCACUAAGUUGGCUAGGGCUGGACCCGGACUCAUUCUGUAGACCUGGUAGGCUUUGAAGUUGUGAGCCUCCUAGGUACCUAGGAGAACACCACCCUGUGUGCCAGUAGGCGUGGCUCAAAACCUCAACAACAACAACAACAACAACCACAAUGAAAUACCAACAAUGGCAAAGCUAAGUCAGAGCUUCCUCCAUAGACACCUCAUCUGCGUAUUCAACAACCACGGCCCAGAAUUAUUUGGAAAACAAAACAAAAAUAAAUAAAUAAAACAAAACACAAAACAUCAACAACAAUAACCUAUCUCUGGACAGAAAGAAGAGACUUCUGCUAAUGUUCCUGAGGCUCUACCACGUGACAGCUGUCACCUGUUCACAUUGUACCAGAUGACCUAUCCUCUAUAGAUGAGGUAAUGCACAUGGGAGGAUGUGUAGAAGCUAUGGGUCAAAACAUCCUGUCUUCCAGAGUCUUAGACACUUGUAGAGUCUGACACCACAACCACAGGUCCUGAAGGGCAUUUUUCUUUUUUAAUUUAUUUUGGUGGUGCUGGGAAUUGAACCCAGGACCUUGCACUUGACACCUAGGUGUCCCAGAUAUCAGACAUUGUCUUAUAUAUGUAUAACUGUGCACCGUGUGAGUGCCUGGAGCUAGGGACGGUUAUUAAUCGCCAUGGGUGCUCCGCAAUGGUAACUCUUAGCUGCUGAACCAUCUCUCCAGCCCAGGGACAAGUGUUCUUAAUAACACUAAAAUUUCUUCAGGUGGGCUGAAGAGAUGGCGCAGUCAUUAAGCGCGCUGGCUGCUCUUGCAGAGGGCUUGGUGCAGUUCCCAGCACCAACAUGGCGGCUCAACCAUCUCUAUCUCCAGUUCUAGAGGAACAAAUGGGCUCCUCUGACUUCAAAUGGCACUUCUGGCACACGGUACACAGACAUAUAUGCAGGUAAAACACCCACACACAUGAAAUAAUAAUAAUUAUUUUUUUCUUCAGUCCUUCUAGUAAUUGACAUAGCCAGGUCUAGAUUUUCUGAGCUUAAAACCGUGCUAGCAUUAAGUCUGCUUUCUCUGCCAUCACGGGAAGUGGGCCUGUCCUGGGUGUGUGUGUGCCAAGCCCACGUGCCUCUGCUGGUACCCAAGUAGUACCCACUGAUGCUAUGGCUUGGGGAUCUGGCUGGUGGAAUGAGAAAAGCUCACUCAAGUUCCGAUAGAAAAGUCUGUAUACAAAGAACCUAGUGCUGCUACAGGGGACUGACUGUCAAUAGGUUAACUAGGAGGACACACUCCAGGCUGGAGAGGGGAGGCUCCAGCAGAUGUGGUAAGGAUGUGAUUUCCCUCAUGAUGGUGGUUAUGGUAGUGAGAGGAUUCGUGGGAGGAGGGGGGAGACUAGAGCCAGGGGGAAGGGAUAAGGAUGGGUCUUAAUGUGGCCACUUUAGCCAGGAUCCUCAGAACAAACUUUUCCCUAAGGCUUGUAUGACAGAGCUUCUUCCUUCCUCUAGGCCAUGAUGUCCAGUAGGACCUGCGGACACAACAUCCUCUGUAAUUCUCAGACUGGCACUGACCCGGAGGGUUUCAACGCUGCCUUGUGCAAACACAGGUCCAUCCUUUAACCGACUUUCCUCAGGUGACACACCCCCGUCCUUCACACAGCCAGGUCCUGCAAGCACCCUGCUGUCAUUUCCUCUUAGCCCCACCCGUACCCUGGCAGAAGAGACCAGCUGCCUCUCCCCUGUGCUCUUUUGCCACCCAGAACCACCCCUGCCCUUGAUGGAAAGAUCAUGACUGACCUGCUGGGGCCCUGGAAUCGACAAAGUUAAGUCCUCAAUGGCAGGGCUGGCGUCUGGUGGCCACGGGCUGUGAGUUUUGCUUACUCGUGCUAACUCAUUGAUAGGAUACCAGGAGGAGGUGCUGGAGCACCCAGAUUGGCUUACCCCAUCUUGUCAAGAGUAGUCUAAGGCACCGGGUGCUGGGCUAACAGAGGAGGCUCUACUGACCCCACUGAGCUUCAAAACGCCAGCAGCUCACCUCUUGGUGCGAACACAGGAGCCUAACUCAGCUCGAUGAACCCCGGGGCACUGGAACUGGCAUGUUACCCCCAAGCCACAGCCCCUCCUCACAGUCUCACCCCGGUCUCUCCAGAACGGGGUCCCGCUCCGUUUCUACUUUUGGCUCUAUUUCCCAGCUUCCUGUUCGCGUGCGCUUCAGGCUCCAGCAUCACCGAAGCAUCCAC